This 3682-nucleotide ribosomal RNA is filed under the name Candidatus Moranbacteria bacterium RIFOXYA12_FULL_35_19. Its description in RNAcentral is "bacterial LSU rRNA". It matches the Rfam family "Bacterial large subunit ribosomal RNA", at positions 1 to 2578 of the family's 2925-position model. Lineage: Bacteria; Candidatus Moraniibacteriota. The record is from RNAcentral.
AAUACAUAAUGCAUAUGGUGAAUGCCUUGACUCAUACUAGCGAUGAAGGGCGUAGCAGUCUGCGAUAAGCUUCGGGGAGGUGACGAGCAACCUUUGAUCCGGAGAUUUCCGAAUGGGAUAACCCAACCCAUUCUUCACUUCGUUCAGAAUGUAAUUUACAAUUUUCAAUUUACAAUUUUCAAAUAAAUUUUAAUUUCUAAUUUUUAAAUUUAGAAAUUAAAACAUUUAAAAUUGUUUAAAAAUUAAAAAUUUUAAAUUAAAAAUUUGCAAGUUUAUUUUAAUAGCAAAAUUUCUGGAUAAAGUGAAGAAUGGGUUAAUAUCAUCUGAAUUCAUAGGAUGAUAUGGCGUACCCGGCGAAUUGAAACAUCUUAUUAGCCGGAGGAAAAGACAUCAAUUGAGAUUCCCCAAGUAGUGGCGAGCGAACGGGGAAAAGCCUAAACCGUAUCCUUCGGGAUGCGGUGUUGCGAGAUAGUUGUACUCGUUUAAUCGGGGUAAUUUAUAUUUUAUUAGCAAAACGUCUCUGGAAAGAGCGGCCACAGAAAGUGAAAGCCUUGUAUGUGAAAAUGAAAUAUAUUUUAUGAAAUUAUUCUCAAGUAAGGCGGGACCGGUGAAAUCCCGUCUGAAUCCGGGGCCACUAUAGCUCCAAGGCUAAAUAUAGUAUGAGAUCGAUAGCGAACAAGUACCGUGAGGGAAAGGUGAAAAGUAUCCCGAUGAGGGAGAUGAAAUAGUAUCUGAAACCAUAUGCUAACGAAGAGUCAGAGCCCCGCCUCGGCGGGGUGAUGGCGUGCUUUUUGUAGAACGAUCCAGCGAGUUAGUUCUAUGUCGUUGACUAAGCAACUUUAUGUUGCGGAGUCGUAGUGAAAGCGAGCCUUAACGGGCGAACUUAAUGGCAUGGACUAGACCCGAAGCCAGGCGAGCUAUUUAUGAGCAGGGUGAAUCCCGAGUAAAAUCGGGAGGAGGCCCGAACCCACCAGCCGUGCAACACUGGGGGAUGACUUGUGAAUAGAGGAGAAAUUCCAAUCGAGCUUGGCGAUAGCUGGUUCUUCCCGAAAUAGCUUGAGGGCUAGCGUUUGAAAACUAUGCUUUGGAGGUAGAGCUACUGAAUGAGAAUUCGUGGUUCGCCAUAGGAUUCUCAACCAAACUCCGAAUUCCGAAGUAAUUAUUCAAGCAGUCAGUACUCCGGGGCUAAGCUCGGAGCACAAAAGGGAAAAAGCCCAUGAUCGCAAUCUAAGGUCCCAAAAUCUAUGUUAAGUGGUAAAGGAAGUAAAGUUUCUUAUACAUCUAGGAGGUUGGCUCAGAAGCAGCCAUCCUUUAAAGAGUGCGUAACAGCUCACUAGUCUAGAGACUUUGCGCCGAAAAUUCAACGGGGCUCAAACAUAGUACCGAAGAUGCGGGAAUUCUCUACGAAUUACGAAUUUGUACGAAUGUACGAAUGUGCGAAAUGCGAGUAAAAAAUUAUUCGUAAUUCGUAUAUUCGUACCGUAGUUAUUCGUAAUUCGUAGGGAAUUCGGUAGGGAAGCGUUCCAUAUGCGCUGAAGGUCGAGCGUGAGCGAGGCUGGAGUGUAUGGAAGUGAGAAUGCUGGAACGAGUAACCGCAAUUGGGGUGAGAACCCCCGACACCGAAAGUCUAAGGUUUCCUGGGCAAUGUCAAUCAUCUCAGGGUUAGUCGGGCCUAAGGCGAGGCCGAAAGGCGUAGUCGAUGGACACACGGUUAAUAUUCCGUGACUUUAAUAUUAUUCGAUGGAGUGACGUAUCCUAGUAGUUUUUGCCGAUUAUUGGAUUUUGGUAGAAAUAUUGAAAUGGCUAAACAGGCAAAUCCGUUUAGCAAUACAUUAAGAUAUUUCUGGAAUCCCGAUGCAAAUCGGGAGAACAAAAAUGAGCAGGGUAUCGAGAAAAGCUUCUAAGAUUAAUAAUAUUAGAACCGUACUAAAACCGACACAGGUAGACUGGGCGAGUAGCCUAAGGUGAACGAGUGAACCUUCGUUAAGGAACUCUGCAAAAUAGCGUCCGUAACUUAGGGAUAUGGACUGCCCGAUGCAAAUCGGGCCGCAGCUAAAGAUAUCAAGCGACUGUUUACCAAAAACACAGGUCUCUGCAAACCCGUAAGGGGAAGUAUAGGGGCUGACGCCUGACCAGUGCUGGAACGUUAACGGGAGCGGUGCAAGCCAAUCCCCGAAGCGCCAGUGAACGUCAGCGAUAACUAUAAUCGUUCUAAGGUAGCGAAAUUCCUUGACAGGUAAUGACGACAGAUAUUUGCCUGUAUGUUGUAGCGAUAUGACAUUAGAAAUCUGACUAAUAACGGUGAAACCUAAAUCCUAAAGAACUAUGGAUAUGGUAAUACCGUGGGAACUUGCUAUAAUUAUUUUAUAGUAAGACCUGUAACGACUGAAGCGAAAGCUGAGACUCGCGCAAUAUUUAUUCGCGGGUAAUACGUCAGCUCUUGUCGAACAAAAAAACAUAUGGAUUUUGCUUCUUAUGUUUCCGGCUUUAUUGAUGGUGAAGGAUGCUUUUCAGUAUCAUUCAACUUUCGAGAAAAGCUCAAAACUAAAAUUGAGGUUCGUCCGAGUUUUUCAAUCGGACAAAAUAUGCGCAGUUUGGAAAUUUUGAAAAUGAUUCAAAAAUUUUUCGAUUGUGGCAGUAUUCGUUUUUGCAAAAACGAUCAAUGCUAUAAAUAUGAAACAAGAAACAUUGGUGAUUUGCGGAAAAAAAUCAUUCCUCAUUUUAGAAAAUUUCCUUUGAUGACUAACAAGAAAGCAGAUUUUGAAAUUUUUUCGAAAAUUUGUGAAAAAAUAGCUCAAAUGAAACAUCUCAAUCCCGUUGGUCUUAAAGAGGUUAUUGAUUUAGCUUAUAAGAUGAAUGGGUAUGGAAAAAGGAAAUAUAAAAAAGCAGAACUCCUAAGUGUUUUGGCAAGAUGAAGAUAUAGUCUGAAUUUUCGCGAAAGCGAUCAAACGAAUUGAAAUUCUGUCCCGCAUUAAAGGCGUAACGACUUGGUAACUGUCUUAACGAAGAGCUCGGUGAAAUUGCAAUGGCGGUAAAGAUGCCGUCGACCUGCAGCAAGACGAAAAGACCCCGUGGAGCUUUACUACAACUUGGUAUUGAAUUUGAGAUCGUGCUGCCUAGAAUAGGUGGGAGGCUGUGAAAUUUCGACUCUGGUCGAGAUGGAGCCAAAAGUGUAAUACCACUCUGUAUAAUUUUAAAUUCUAACCCUGGGCUGUUAUGAGUUACUUUGACUUAUAAUUUGUGCCGUAAAAUAUGAUAAUGAAAAUUAUUAGGAUUAGAUAUGAAGUUGUAAUUAUCGUAUUUGCGGUUCACAAAAAAUUAUAAAGUCUUGGUUAUUCAUACCAGUCCGGGGACAGUGCCUGGUGGGUAGUUUGACUGGGGCGGUCGCCUCCUAAAUGGCAACGGAGGCGUUUACAAAGGUUGGCUAGGUCCGGAUGGAAAUCGGACUCGUCGUGCAAACGCAUAAGCCAGCUUUACUGCAAGACUCAUUAGUCGAUCAGUUACGAAAGUAGAAGUUAGUGAACCGACUGUCGCAUAUAGAUGCGCAGAAGAUCAUCAGAUAAAAGUUACCCCGGGGAUAACAGGCUGAUCCCUCCCAAGAGUCCAUAUCGACGGAGGGGUUUGGCACCUCGAUGUCGGCUCAUCGCAUCCUGGGGCUGGAGAAGGUCCCAAGGGUUUGGCU